GUAGGUGGCAAGCGUUGUCCGGAAUUAUUGGGCGUAAAGCGCGCGCAGGCGGUCCUUUAAGUCUGAUGUGAAAGCCCACGGCUCAACCGUGGAGGGUCAUUGGAAACUGGGGGACUUGAGUACAGAAGAGGAAAGCGGAAUUCCAAGUGUAGCGGUGAAAUGCGUAGAGAUUUGGAGGAACACCAGUGGCGAAGGCGGCUUUCUGGUCGGUAACUGACGCUGAGGCGCGAAAGCGUGGGGAGCAAACAGGAUUAGAUACCCUGGUAGUCCACGCCGUAAACGAUGAGUGCUAAGUGUUAGGGGGUUUCCCGCCCCCUUAGUGCUGCAGCUAACGCAUUAAGCACUCCGCCUGGGGAGUACGGCCGCAAGGCUG
This 373-nucleotide ribosomal RNA is filed under the name uncultured organism. RNAcentral describes it as "partial 16S ribosomal RNA". It matches the Rfam family "Bacterial small subunit ribosomal RNA", at positions 527 to 896 of the family's 1533-position model. The record is from RNAcentral.